CCUACGGGAGGCAGCAGUGGGGGAUAUUGCACAAUGGGGGAAACCCUGAUGCAGCGAUGCCGCGUGAAUGAUGAAGGCUUUCGAGUCGUAAAGUUCUGUUCUUAGGGAAGAUAGUGACGGUACCUAAGAAGAAAGCCCCGGCUAAAUACGUGCCAGCAGCCGCGGUAAUACGUAUGGGGCGAGCGUUAUCCGGAAUUAUUGGGCGUAAGGAGUUCGUAGGCGGUCUUAUAAGUCAGAAGUGAAAGGCAGUGGCUCAACCAUUGUAAGCUUUUGAAACUGGGAGACUUGAGUGUUGGAGAGGAAAGCGGAAUUCCUAGUGUAGCGGUGAAAUGCGUAGAUAUUAGGAGGAACACCAGUGGCGAAGGCGGCUUUCUGGACAAAAACUGACGUUGAGGAACGAAAGCGUGGGGAGCGAACAGGAUUAGAUACCCUGGUAGUCCACGCCGUAAACGAUGAGUGCUAGGUGUUGGGGUAGCGAUAGUUCAGUGCCGCACAUAACGCAUUAAGCAAUCCGCCUGGGGAGUACGGUCGCAAGACUGAAACUCAAAUGAAUUGACGGA
This 560-nucleotide ribosomal RNA is filed under the name uncultured bacterium. RNAcentral's name for it is "bacterial SSU rRNA". It matches the Rfam family "Bacterial small subunit ribosomal RNA", at positions 338 to 917 of the family's 1533-position model. The record is from RNAcentral.